RNAcentral lists this ribosomal RNA (627 nucleotides) under uncultured bacterium. Its description in RNAcentral is "bacterial SSU rRNA". It matches the Rfam family "Bacterial small subunit ribosomal RNA", at positions 8 to 682 of the family's 1533-position model. The record is from RNAcentral.
AGAGUUUGAUCCUGGCUCAGGGUGAACGCUGGCGGCGUGGAUAAGGCAUGCAAGUCGAGCGGGUUUAGACCCGCGGCAGACGAGGUAGUAACACGUGGGUAUCUACCCUUGAGUCAAGGAUAUUCCAUCGAAAGAUGGCGCAAUACUUGAUAGUCUCUACGGAGUAAAGAUUUAUCGCUCAAGGAGGAACCUGCGCAAUAUCAGCUUGUUGGUAAGGUAACGGCUUACCAAGGCUAUGACGUUUAGGGGAGCUGAGAGGCUGACCCCCACCGAUGGAACUGAGACACGGUCCAUACUCCUACGGGAGGCCGCAGUCGAGAAUCUUCCGCAAUGGACGAAAGUCUGACGGAGCGACGCCGCGUGGUGGAUGAAGUCCUUAGGGACGUAAACACCUUUUAUAGGGGAUGAAAUUUUGACAGUACCCUAGGAAUAAGGGGCUCCUAACUCUGUGCCAGCAGGAGCGGUAAUACAGAGGCCUCAAGCGUUACCCGGAAUCACUGGGCGUAAAGGAUGCGUAGGUGGUUAUGUUAGUCAUGCGUGAAAUCCUUCGGCUCAACCGAAGGAAUGCCGCAUGAUACGGCAUAACUAGAGGACGUAAGAGGUAUGCGGAACUCACGGUGUAGGGGU